AGAGUUUGAUCCUGGCUCAGAAUCAACGCUGGCGGCGCGCCUAACACAUGCAAGUCGAGCGAGAAAGGGAGCAAUCCUGAGUAAAGCGGCGCACGGGUGAGUAACACGUGGAUGAUCUACCCUAUGGUGGGGAAUAACCUUGGGAAACCGAGGCUAAUACCGCAUAAGUUCGAGAGAAGAAAGCCGAAAGGCGCCAUUGGAGGAGUCCGCGGCCGAUUAGCUAGUUGGUGGGGUAAGAGCUCACCAGGGCGACGAUCGGUAGCCGGCCUGAGAGGGCACACGGCCACACUGGCACUGAAACACGGGCCAGACUCCUACGGGAGGCAGCAGUGGGGAAUCUUGCACAAUGGGGGAAACCCUGAUGCAGCGACGCCGCGUGAGUGAUGAAGCCCUUCGGGGUGUAAAGCUCUUUCGGCAGGGACGAUAAUGACGGUACCUGCAGAAGAAGCUGCGGCUAACUACGUGCCAGCAGCCGCGGUAAUACGUAGGCAGCAAGCGUUGUUCGGAAUUACUGGGCGUAAAGAGUGCGUAGGCGGUUUGGCAAGUUUGGUGUGAAAUCUCCCGGCUUAACUGGGAGGGUGCGCCGAAAACUGCCAGGCUAGAGUGUGGGAGAGGAAAGUGGAAUUCCUGGUGUAGCGGUGAAAUGCGUAGAUAUCAGGAGGAACACCUGCGGCGUAGACGGCUUUCUGGACCACUACUGACGCUGAGGCACGAAAGCGUGGGGAGCAAACAGGAUUAGAUACCCUGGUAGUCCACG
This 757-nucleotide ribosomal RNA is filed under the name uncultured bacterium. RNAcentral's name for it is "bacterial SSU rRNA". It matches the Rfam family "Bacterial small subunit ribosomal RNA", at positions 8 to 799 of the family's 1533-position model. The record is from RNAcentral.